RNAcentral lists this ribosomal RNA (252 nucleotides) under uncultured bacterium. RNAcentral's name for it is "partial 16S ribosomal RNA". It matches the Rfam family "Bacterial small subunit ribosomal RNA", at positions 524 to 776 of the family's 1533-position model. The record is from RNAcentral.
UACGGAGGAUGCGAGCGUUAUCCGGAUUUAUUGGGUUUAAAGGGUGCGCAGGCGGAGGCACAAGUCAGCGGUAAAAUCGCGGGGCUCAACCCCGCUCCGCCGUUGAAACUGUGUCCCUUGAGUGCGCGAAGGGUAGGCGGAAUGCGUGGUGUAGCGGUGAAAUGCAUAGAUAUCACGCAGAACUCCGAUCGCGAAGGCAGCCUACCGGCGCGCUACUGACGCUCAUGCGCGAAAGCGUGGGUAUCGAACAGG